ACCGCACUUUCAUCGUUGCCUUGGUUGCGAUAUUUUUCCGCAAUAUCCAGUAAACGUUCGGUGCCAUCCGGCGUGCGGUU
RNAcentral lists this transfer RNA (80 nucleotides) under Parahaemophilus parainfluenzae. RNAcentral's name for it is "Haemophilus parainfluenzae tRNA-Gly(tcc)". Lineage: Bacteria; Pseudomonadati; Pseudomonadota; Gammaproteobacteria; Pasteurellales; Pasteurellaceae. The record is from RNAcentral.